RNAcentral lists this ribosomal RNA (2921 nucleotides) under Staphylococcus aureus. RNAcentral describes it as "bacterial LSU rRNA". It matches the Rfam family "Bacterial large subunit ribosomal RNA". The record is from RNAcentral. Lineage: Bacteria; Bacillati; Bacillota; Bacilli; Caryophanales; Staphylococcaceae.
UUAAGUUAUUAAGGGCGCACGGUGGAUGCCUUGGCACUAGAAGCCGAUGAAGGACGUUACUAACGACGAUAUGCUUUGGGGAGCUGUAAGUAAGCUUUGAUCCAGAGAUUUCCGAAUGGGGAAACCCAACAUGAGUUAUGUCAUGUUAUCGAUAUGUGAAUACAUAGCAUAUCAGAAGGCACACCCGGAGAACUGAAACAUCUUAGUACCCGGAGGAAGAGAAAGAAAAUUCGAUUCCCUUAGUAGCGGCGAGCGAAACGGGAAGAGCCCAAACCAACAAGCUUGCUUGUUGGGGUUGUAGGACACUCUAUACGGAGUUACAAAGGACGACAUUAGACGAAUCAUCUGGAAAGAUGAAUCAAAGAAGGUAAUAAUCCUGUAGUCGAAAAUGUUGUCUCUCUUGAGUGGAUCCUGAGUACGACGGAGCACGUGAAAUUCCGUCGGAAUCUGGGAGGACCAUCUCCUAAGGCUAAAUACUCUCUAGUGACCGAUAGUGAACCAGUACCGUGAGGGAAAGGUGAAAAGCACCCCGGAAGGGGAGUGAAAUAGAACCUGAAACCGUGUGCUUACAAGUAGUCAGAGCCCGUUAAUGGGUGAUGGCGUGCCUUUUGUAGAAUGAACCGGCGAGUUACGAUUUGAUGCAAGGUUAAGCAGUAAAUGUGGAGCCGUAGCGAAAGCGAGUCUGAAUAGGGCGUUUAGUAUUUGGUCGUAGACCCGAAACCAGGUGAUCUACCCUUGGUCAGGUUGAAGUUCAGGUAACACUGAAUGGAGGACCGAACCGACUUACGUUGAAAAGUGAGCGGAUGAACUGAGGGUAGCGGAGAAAUUCCAAUCGAACCUGGAGAUAGCUGGUUCUCUCCGAAAUAGCUUUAGGGCUAGCCUCAAGUGAUGAUUAUUGGAGGUAGAGCACUGUUUGGACGAGGGGCCCCUCUCGGGUUACCGAAUUCAGACAAACUCCGAAUGCCAAUUAAUUUAACUUGGGAGUCAGAACAUGGGUGAUAAGGUCCGUGUUCGAAAGGGAAACAGCCCAGACCACCAGCUAAGGUCCCAAAAUAUAUGUUAAGUGGAAAAGGAUGUGGCGUUGCCCAGACAACUAGGAUGUUGGCUUAGAAGCAGCCAUCAUUUAAAGAGUGCGUAAUAGCUCACUAGUCGAGUGACACUGCGCCGAAAAUGUACCGGGGCUAAACAUAUUACCGAAGCUGUGGAUUGUCCUUUGGACAAUGGUAGGAGAGCGUUCUAAGGGCGUUGAAGCAUGAUCGUAAGGACAUGUGGAGCGCUUAGAAGUGAGAAUGCCGGUGUGAGUAGCGAAAGACGGGUGAGAAUCCCGUCCACCGAUUGACUAAGGUUUCCAGAGGAAGGCUCGUCCGCUCUGGGUUAGUCGGGUCCUAAGCUGAGGCCGACAGGCGUAGGCGAUGGAUAACAGGUUGAUAUUCCUGUACCACCUAUAAUCGUUUUAAUCGAUGGGGGGACGCAGUAGGAUAGGCGAAGCGUGCGAUUGGAUUGCACGUCUAAGCAGUAAGGCUGAGUAUUAGGCAAAUCCGGUACUCGUUAAGGCUGAGCUGUGAUGGGGAGAAGACAUUGUGUCUUCGAGUCGUUGAUUUCACACUGCCGAGAAAAGCCUCUAGAUAGAAAAUAGGUGCCCGUACCGCAAACCGACACAGGUAGUCAAGAUGAGAAUUCUAAGGUGAGCGAGCGAACUCUCGUUAAGGAACUCGGCAAAAUGACCCCGUAACUUCGGGAGAAGGGGUGCUCUUUAGGGUUAACGCCCAGAAGAGCCGCAGUGAAUAGGCCCAAGCGACUGUUUAUCAAAAACACAGGUCUCUGCUAAACCGUAAGGUGAUGUAUAGGGGCUGACGCCUGCCCGGUGCUGGAAGGUUAAGAGGAGUGGUUAGCUUCUGCGAAGCUACGAAUCGAAGCCCCAGUAAACGGCGGCCGUAACUAUAACGGUCCUAAGGUAGCGAAAUUCCUUGUCGGGUAAGUUCCGACCCGCACGAAAGGCGUAACGAUUUGGGCACUGUCUCAACGAGAGACUCGGUGAAAUCAUAGUACCUGUGAAGAUGCAGGUUACCCGCGACAGGACGGAAAGACCCCGUGGAGCUUUACUGUAGCCUGAUAUUGAAAUUCGGCACAGCUUGUACAGGAUAGGUAGGAGCCUUUGAAACGUGAGCGCUAGCUUACGUGGAGGCGCUGGUGGGAUACUACCCUAGCUGUGUUGGCUUUCUAACCCGCACCACUUAUCGUGGUGGGAGACAGUGUCAGGCGGGCAGUUUGACUGGGGCGGUCGCCUCCUAAAAGGUAACGGAGGCGCUCAAAGGUUCCCUCAGAAUGGUUGGAAAUCAUUCAUAGAGUGUAAAGGCAUAAGGGAGCUUGACUGCGAGACCUACAAGUCGAGCAGGGUCGAAAGACGGACUUAGUGAUCCGGUGGUUCCGCAUGGAAGGGCCAUCGCUCAACGGAUAAAAGCUACCCCGGGGAUAACAGGCUUAUCUCCCCCAAGAGUUCACAUCGACGGGGAGGUUUGGCACCUCGAUGUCGGCUCAUCGCAUCCUGGGGCUGUAGUCGGUCCCAAGGGUUGGGCUGUUCGCCCAUUAAAGCGGUACGCGAGCUGGGUUCAGAACGUCGUGAGACAGUUCGGUCCCUAUCCGUCGUGGGCGUAGGAAAUUUGAGAGGAGCUGUCCUUAGUACGAGAGGACCGGGAUGGACAUACCUCUGGUGUACCAGUUGUCGUGCCAACGGCAUAGCUGGGUAGCUAUGUGUGGACGGGAUAAGUGCUGAAAGCAUCUAAGCAUGAAGCCCCCCUCAAGAUGAGAUUUCCUAACUUCGGUUAUAAGAUCCCUCAAAGAUGAUGAGGUUAAUAGGUUCGAGGUGGAAGCAUGGUGACAUGUGGAGCUGACGAAUACUAAUCGAUCAAAGACUUAAUCAA